RNAcentral lists this ribosomal RNA (468 nucleotides) under uncultured bacterium. RNAcentral describes it as "partial 16S ribosomal RNA". It matches the Rfam family "Bacterial small subunit ribosomal RNA", at positions 28 to 507 of the family's 1533-position model. The record is from RNAcentral.
GACGAACGCUGGCGGCGUGCUUAACACAUGCAAGUCGAACGGAAAGGCCCUGCUUUUGUGGGGUGCUCGAGUGGCGAACGGGUGAGUAACACGUGAGUAACCUGCCCUUGACUUUGGGAUAACUUCAGGAAACUGGGGCUAAUACCGGAUAGGAGCUCCUGCUGCAUGGUGGGGGUUGGAAAGUUUCGGCGGUUGGGGUUGGACUCGCGGCUUAUCAGCUUGUUGGUGGGGUAGUGGCUUACCAAGGGUUUGACGGGUAGCCGGCCUGAGAGGGUGACCGGCCACAUUGGGACUGAGAUAGGGCCCAGACUCCUACGGGAGGCAGCAGUGGGGAAUAUUGCACAAGGGGCGGAAGCCUGAUGCAGCAACGCCGCGUGGGGGAUGACGGCCUUCGGGUUGUAAACCGCUUUCGCCUGUGACGAAGCGUGAGUGACGGUAAGGGGUAAAGAAGCACCGGCUAACUACGUG